RNAcentral lists this ribosomal RNA (253 nucleotides) under uncultured bacterium. Its description in RNAcentral is "partial 16S ribosomal RNA". It matches the Rfam family "Bacterial small subunit ribosomal RNA", at positions 524 to 776 of the family's 1533-position model. The record is from RNAcentral.
UACGAAGGGGGCUAGCGUUGCUCGGAAUCACUGGGCGUAAAGCGCACGUAGGCGGAUCUUUAAGUCAGGGGUGAAAUCCUGGAGCUCAACUCCAGAACUGCCUUUGAUACUGGGGAUCUCGAGUCCGGGAGAGGUGAGUGGAACCGCGAGUGUAGAGGUGAAAUUCGUAGAUAUUCGCAAGAACACCAGUGGCGAAGGCGGCUCACUGGCCCGGUACUGACGCUGAGGUGCGAAAGCGUGGGGAGCAAACAGG